UGGGUAACCUGCCUCAAAGAGGGGAAUAGCCUCCCGAAAGGGAGAUUAAUACCGCAUAAUAUGUUUAAGUCGCAUGACCUUAACAUCAAAGGAUUUUCUUUUAGAAAUUCCACUUUGAGAUGGACCCGCGGCGCAUUAGCUAGUUGGUGAGGUAACGGCUCACCAAGGCAACGAUGCGUAGCCGACCUGAGAGGGUGAUCGGCCACAUUGGAACUGAGGCACGGCCCAGACUCCGUAGGGAGG
Molecule: ribosomal RNA, 243 nt
Filed under: uncultured bacterium
Lineage: Bacteria
Description: partial 16S ribosomal RNA
Rfam family: Bacterial small subunit ribosomal RNA
Source: RNAcentral